UACGUAGGGGGCAAGCGUUGUCCGGAAUCAUUGGGCGUAAAGAGCGCGUAGGCGGUCCGGUAAGUCCGCUCUGAAAGUCCGGGGCUCAACCCCGGGAGGCGGGCGGAUACUGUCGGGCUAGAGUCCGGAAGAGGCGAGUGGAAUUCCUGGUGUAGCGGUGAAAUGCGCAGAUAUCAGGAGGAACACCAGUGGCGAAGGCGGGUCUCUGGGCCGAUACUGACGCUGAGGAGCGAAAGCGUGGGGAGCGAACAGG
RNAcentral lists this ribosomal RNA (253 nucleotides) under uncultured bacterium. RNAcentral's name for it is "partial 16S ribosomal RNA". It matches the Rfam family "Bacterial small subunit ribosomal RNA", at positions 524 to 776 of the family's 1533-position model. The record is from RNAcentral.